RNAcentral lists this ribosomal RNA (164 nucleotides) under Festuca geniculata. RNAcentral's name for it is "5.8S ribosomal RNA". The stretch from base 1 to 139 matches the Rfam family "5.8S ribosomal RNA", at positions 18 to 154 of the family's 154-position model. From Rfam's summary of the family: 5.8S ribosomal RNA (5.8S rRNA) is a component of the large subunit of the eukaryotic ribosome. The record is from RNAcentral. Lineage: Eukaryota; Viridiplantae; Streptophyta; Magnoliopsida; Poales; Poaceae.
AUCUCGGCUCUCGCAUCGAUGAAGAACGUAGCGAAAUGCGAUACCUGGUGUGAAUUGCAGAAUCCCGCGAACCAUCGAGUCUUUGAACGCAAGUUGCGCCCGAGGCCUUCUGGCCGAGGGCACGCCUGCCUGGGCGUCACGCCAAACACGCUCCCCUCACUAAU